Molecule: ribosomal RNA, 200 nt
Filed under: uncultured bacterium
Lineage: Bacteria
Description: partial 16S ribosomal RNA
Rfam family: Bacterial small subunit ribosomal RNA
Source: RNAcentral
AUUGAACGCUGGCGGCAUGCCUUACACAUGCAAGUCGAACGGCAGCACGGGAGCAAUCCUGGUGGCGAGUGGCGAACGGGUGAGUAAUACAUCGGAACGUGCCCAAUCGUGGGGGAUAACGCUGCGAAAGCUGUGCUAAUACCGCAUAAGAUCUACGGAUGAAAGCAGGGGACCGCAAGGCCUUGCGCGAAUGGAGCGGC